AGAGUUUGAUCAUGGCUCAGAACGUACGCUGGCGGCACGCCUAAUACAUGCAAGUCGAACGAAGUAGCAAUACUUAGUGGCAGACGGGUGAGUAACAUGUAGGUAUCUUCCCAUUGGUGAGGAAUAACACGAGGAAACUUGUGCUAAUACCUCAUAAGUCUUCACGGAGAAAGCUUUAUGCGCCGAUGGAUGAGCCUGCACUUGAUUAGUUUGUUGGUAGGGUAAUGGCCUACCAAGACAAUGAUCAAUAGCUGAUUUGAGAGGAUGAUCAGCCACAUUGGGACUGAGACACGGCCCAAACUCCUACGGGAGGCAGCAGUAGGGAAUCUUGCACAAUGGGGGAAACCCUGAUGCAGCGAUGCCGCGUGAGUGAAGAAGGCCUUUGGGUUGUAAAGCUCUUUCGUCGGGGAAGAAAAUGACUGUACCCGAAUAAGAAGGUCCGGCUAACUUCGUGCCAGCAGCCGCGGUAAUACGAAGGGACCUAGCGUAGUUCGGAAUUACUGGGCUUAAAGAGUUCGUAGGUGGUUAAAAAAGUUGGUGGUGAAAUCCCAGAGCUUAACUCUGGAACUGCCAUCAAAACUUUUUAGCUAGAGUAUGAUAGAGGAAAGCAGAAUUUCUAGUGUAGAGGUGAAAUUCGUAGAUAUUAGAAAGAAUACCAAUUGCGAAGGCAGCUUUCUGGAUCAUUACUGACACUGAGGAACGAAAGCAUGGGUAGCGAAGAGGAUUAGAUACCCUCGUAGUCCAUGCCGUAAACGAUGUGUGUUAGACGUUGGAAAUUUAUUUUCUGUGUCGCAGCGAAAGCAAUAAACACACCGCCUGGGGAGUACGACCGCAAGGUUAAAACUCAAAUGAAUUGACGGGGACCCGCACAAGUAGUGGAGCAUGUGGUUUAAUUCGAAGAUACGCGCAGAACCUUACCAACACUUGACAUGUUCGUCGCGACUUUAAGAGAUUAAAGUUUUCGGUUCGGCCGGACGAAACACAGGUGCUGCAUGGCUGUCGUCAGCUCGUGUCGUGAGAUGUUGGGUUAAGUCCCGCAACGAGCGCAACCCUCACUUUUAGUUGCCAUCAUUUAGUUGGGCACUCUGAAAGAACUGCCAGUGAUAAGCUGGAGGAAGGUGGGGAUGACGUCAAGUCCUCAUGGCCCUUACGUGUUGGGCUACAC
Molecule: ribosomal RNA, 1165 nt
Filed under: marine metagenome
Description: bacterial SSU rRNA
Rfam family: Bacterial small subunit ribosomal RNA
Source: RNAcentral